CUCCCGGACCCCAUUCUGUUCCUGGGGAUUUGCCCUUCCCACCAGAGCACCGUCAGACUCAGUUUCUUUACUUCUAGAAGAAAAUGACUCAUUGGGUCCUCUAAAAGUUCUCCACCAACCACUAGGAAUGCCCUUGUCCUGGUGGCACAUUCCCAGGAAAGUAAACUCUGCUGGCUCAGCCUAUCAGUGGACUGGCUCCCCUCUGGCCAUAUCAUCAGUUAACCUUCUGUCAGGGUAAUGGAAGCCUUCCCUGUAUGCCAGGAUGCAGGCUUUUAUGUCAUGGAAUAGGAGGACCACACAGCCGUUGGAAAGAAUGGAAGAUGGACCAUCAGGCAAAAAAGUGUGUCAUCUCAGCCUGCACAGCCAAGCAGUGGUUUUCAAGAACUCACCCCAAAAUCAUUAAGAAUCUCAAGAUCUUUGGGGUUACCCACCCAUUUAUCUCUAUCCACAACGGGGAGAUUCUCAAGAAGUUUGCCAAGGAGAUGCUUCUACAAUCAAGAACCUUCUGGAAGCUCCCACUCCAUGUUAGCCUGCAGCACAGAUGAGUGAUUCACAGAAGUGGCUGCAAGCUCUCUCAGCUGCCUGUAUCCCCAAAACGGUGGUUGGCAGGAACUUGCCCAGACACUGCUGUGAACCCUGGGUCUGCCUACAGAUGCUUCCAGACAAUAAUUAUUUCUUCUCUUCUGUCUGCUAAGUCUCAUGAGCACCUCUUACUAGAAAACUCUGACCAGAACCCUAUGUGGAGGGGGAUUCUGGAAAAUGCUGUUCUAAGCUUCUCCUGUGUGAUAUGGAGGAGAUGGGGGGAGGGGAUGGUGGUAAGCUGAGCGUGGGGGCGUGCACAUGUGAGUGUGUGUGCAUGUGUACAUGCCUGUAUGUGCGCAUAUCCAGUGAGAAAACAGACAGGUCUUGGGAACUGGGGCAUGGUCUAGCCAUCACUUAAUACCAGAAAAAGCAGAUUUCCCAGACUUUCCUUUCUUGCCCUUUCCUACAUAAUCUGACAACAGUUCGUCUCAGCUUGCUUAAGAAAGCUCACCACAACAGAUCCAAAGAACUCGUCUGUAGCUAACAUUUGAUGUUCUCAUCUCCUCUGCAUUCCCUCCUCCUUCUGCUUGGCCUAGGCCCUUGCUUUAAUGUGCGCAGCCAUAUUCUCUGUGAGAAUGACUUAGCUGCACAGGCAUGGGAGUCAGGACUAUCUAGUCAACCCACUGCUCCAGCCUGGGGGCCCAGCGUUUGACAGAAUCGGGAGGGCAGCCAGGCCCAGCCAGUCAAGUCAUCCCUGGAUGGGAAUUGGGGGAGGAUUACAAAAGUAUCCAUGAUUACAAAAUGUGAGGCCAGGAUUCACAAGAGAUGUAGACAGCACAGAGACUUGAUCAUCUCUUUUAUAUCCCCAGAUUCAGCAACCAACAUCUGAGGUCAGUUCUUCUAGCAUUUUCAUUACACAUGCCAAUAAAUCUCUCAUUUUAUUUAAGUCUAUUUGAGUUAAAUGUCUCUGUCAAACAUCUUAACUAGUAAAUAAACGUAACUAAAUCUGGUCUA
This is a long non-coding RNA of Felis catus (domestic cat), 1536 nucleotides long. RefSeq lists it as uncharacterized. Lineage: Eukaryota; Metazoa; Chordata; Mammalia; Carnivora; Felidae. The transcript has 2 exons. The record is from RefSeq and is a predicted model, not a curated record.